Molecule: ribosomal RNA, 497 nt
Filed under: uncultured bacterium
Lineage: Bacteria
Description: partial 16S ribosomal RNA
Rfam family: Bacterial small subunit ribosomal RNA (bases 54-497)
Source: RNAcentral
GGGGGGGGGGGGGGGGGGGGCGGGGGGAGGGGGGUCGGGGGGAGGGGCGAGGAGGUGGCUUGGCUGAUGGUUGCGGCGGAGGGGUGUGGAACACGUGGGUCACCUACCUCUCAGGCUGGGUUAACUUCGGGGAGGCGGGGCGAGUCCCGGAUAAUCUUUUGAUCCGCAUGGUUGAAAAGUGCAAGCCGGUCCUGCUGUCCAUUAUAUCUUGAUCCGCGCUGCUUUAGCUAGUUUGUAAGGUAACGGCUUUCCAAGGCAACGCGGCAUAGCCGACCUGGGAGGGUGAUCGGCCACACUGGAACGGAGACACGGGCCAGACUCCAAAGGGAGGCAGCAGUAGGGAAUCUUCCGCAAUGGGCGAAAGCCUGACGGAGCAACGCCGCGUGAGUGAUGAGGGUCUUCGGAUCGUAAAACUCUGUUAUUAGGGAAGAACAUAUUUGUAAGUAACUGUGCACAUCUUGAAGGUACCUAAUCAGAAAACCACGGCUAACUACGUG